CUACGGGCGGCUGCAGUGAGGAAUAUUGCACAAUGGGGGAACCCUGAUGCAGCAACGCCGCGUGGAGGAUGACGCAUUUCGGUGUGUAAACUCCUUUUAUAUGUCAAGAAAAUGACGGUAGCAUAUGAAUAAGCACCGGCUAACUCCGUGCCAGCAGCCGCGGUAAUACGGAGGGUGCAAGCGUUACUCGGAAUCACUGGGCGUAAAGGACGCGUAGGCGGGUUGGAAAGUCAGGUGUGAAAUCCUACAGCUUAACUGUAGAACUGCACUUGAAACUUCUAAUCUAGAGUAUGGGAGGGGGAGAUGGAAUUAGUGGUGUAGGGGUAAGAUCCGUAGAUAUCACUAGGAAUACCUAAAGCGAAGGCGAUCUCCUGGAACAUUACUGACGCUAAGGCGUGAAAGCGUGGGGAGCAAACAGGAUUAGAUACCCUCGUAGUC
This 438-nucleotide ribosomal RNA is filed under the name uncultured bacterium. RNAcentral's name for it is "partial 16S ribosomal RNA". It matches the Rfam family "Bacterial small subunit ribosomal RNA", at positions 339 to 795 of the family's 1533-position model. The record is from RNAcentral.